Molecule: ribosomal RNA, 378 nt
Filed under: uncultured bacterium
Lineage: Bacteria
Description: bacterial SSU rRNA
Rfam family: Bacterial small subunit ribosomal RNA
Source: RNAcentral
GACUAACGCUGGCGGUACGCCUAACACAUGCAAGUCGAACGAGACUUUUAGACUUCGGUUUGAAAGUUUAGUGGCAAACGGGUGAGUAAUGCAUAGGAAUCUGCCCUUUGUGGGGAAUAGCUCGAAGAAAUUCGAAUUAAUUCCGCAUGAUGCCGAGAGGUAAAAGCAGCAAUGCGCCAGAGGAUGAGCCUGUGUCCGAUUAGCUAGUUGGUGAGAUAAAAGCUUACCAAGGCAACGAUCGGUAGCUGGUCUGAGAGGAUGAUCAGCCACAGUGGAACUGCGACACGGUCCACACUCCUACGGAGGCAGCAGUGAGGAAUUUUUCCGCAAUGGGCGAAAGCCUGACGGAGCGAUACCGCGUGUAGGAAGAAGGCCCUU